RNAcentral lists this ribosomal RNA (253 nucleotides) under uncultured bacterium. Its description in RNAcentral is "partial 16S ribosomal RNA". It matches the Rfam family "Bacterial small subunit ribosomal RNA", at positions 524 to 776 of the family's 1533-position model. The record is from RNAcentral.
UACGUAGGUGACAAGCGUUGUCCGGAUUUACUGGGCGUAAAGAGCGCGCAGGCGGUCGUUCAAGUCGAGUGUGAAAGCCCCCGGCUCAACUGGGGAGGGUCACUCGAUACUGAUCGACUCGAAGGCAGGAGAGGGUAAUGGAAUUCCCGGUGUAGUGGUGAAAUGCGUAGAUAUCGGGAGGAACACCAGUGGCGAAGGCGACUACCUGGCCUGUUCUUGACGCUGAGGCGCGAAAGCUAGGGGAGCAAACGGG